AUUGAACGCUGGCGGCAUGCCUUACACAUGCAAGUCGAACGGUAACGCGGGGCAACCUGGCGACGAGUGGCGAACGGGUGAGUAAUACAUCGGAACGUGCCCAGUAGUGGGGGAUAGCCCGGCGAAAGCCGGAUUAAUACCGCAUACGACCUACGGGUGAAAGCAGGGGAUCGCAAGACCUUGCGCUAUUGGAGCGGCCGAUGUCAGAUUAGGUUGUUGGUGGGGUAAAAGCCUACCAAGCCGACGAUCUGUAGCUGGUCUGAGAGGACGACCAGCCACACUGGGACUGAGACACGGCCCAGACUCCUACGGGAGGCAGCAGUGGGGAAUUUUGGACAAUGGGCGCAAGCCUGAUCCAGCCAUGCCGCGUGCGGGAAGAAGGCC
This 384-nucleotide ribosomal RNA is filed under the name uncultured bacterium. RNAcentral describes it as "bacterial SSU rRNA". It matches the Rfam family "Bacterial small subunit ribosomal RNA", at positions 29 to 416 of the family's 1533-position model. The record is from RNAcentral.